GACGAACGCUGGCGGCGUGCCUGACACAUGCAAGUCGGACGGUUCUUGUACCUUCAAGCUUGCUUGUUGGUGCAAGGAUAGUGGCGGACGGGUGAGUAACGCGUGAACAUCUACCCAUUGGAGGGGGACAACCCGUCGAAAGGCGGGCUAAUACCGCGUAAGCCGCGAGGUGAGAGGCUGCCUAUUGGUGGCCGCCGAUGGAUGGGUUCGCGUCCUAUCAGCUGGUUGGUGGGGUAACGGCCUACCAAGGCGAAGACGGGUAGCCGGUCUGAGAGGAUGGCCGGCCACACUGGAACUGAGACACGGUCCAGACUCCUACGGGAGGCAGCAGUGGGGAAUAUUGCGCAAUGGGGGAAACCCUGACGCAGCAACGCCGCGUGGAGGAAGAAGGUCUUCGGAUUGUAAACUCCUGUCUUCUGGGACGAAGUAUGACGGUACCAGAGGAGGAAGCCACGGCUAACUACGUG
RNAcentral lists this ribosomal RNA (467 nucleotides) under uncultured bacterium. RNAcentral's name for it is "bacterial SSU rRNA". It matches the Rfam family "Bacterial small subunit ribosomal RNA", at positions 28 to 507 of the family's 1533-position model. The record is from RNAcentral.